RNAcentral lists this transfer RNA (76 nucleotides) under Hyphomicrobiales bacterium. RNAcentral's name for it is "tRNA-Glu". It matches the Rfam family "tRNA". Rfam says of the family: Transfer RNA (tRNA) molecules are approximately 80 nucleotides in length. Their secondary structure includes four short double-helical elements and three loops (D, anti-codon, and T loops). Lineage: Bacteria; Pseudomonadati; Pseudomonadota; Alphaproteobacteria; Hyphomicrobiales. The record is from RNAcentral.
GCGCCCUUCGUCUAGCGGUCUAGGACAUCGCCCUUUCACGGCGGAAACACGGGUUCGAGUCCCGUAGGGCGCACCA